RNAcentral lists this ribosomal RNA (365 nucleotides) under uncultured bacterium. RNAcentral's name for it is "partial 16S ribosomal RNA". It matches the Rfam family "Bacterial small subunit ribosomal RNA", at positions 338 to 701 of the family's 1533-position model. The record is from RNAcentral.
CCUACGGGUGGCUGCAGUGAGGAAUAUUGGUCAAUGGCCGGAAGGCUGAACCAGCCAAGUCGCGUGAGGGACGACUGCCCUAUGGGUUGUAAACUUCUUUUAUAAGGGAAGAAUAAAUGCUACGUGUAGCAUGAUGUCUGUACCUUAUGAAUAAGCAUCGGCUAACUCCGUGCCAGCAGCCGAGGUAAUACGGAGGAUGCGAGCGUUAUCCGGAUGUAUUGGGUUUAAAGGGGGCGUAGGCGGUUUGUUAAGGUAGUGGUUAAACGUAGGGGCGUAACCUGGAGGUGCCAGUCAGACUGUCAGACUCGAGUUCCGACGCGGUAGGCGGAAUCAGUUCCGUAGCGGUGACAUGCUUAGAUAUCACU